This 214-nucleotide long non-coding RNA is filed under the name Elaeis guineensis (African oil palm). RNAcentral describes it as "long non-coding RNA (EGUI_LNC067824)". The record is from RNAcentral. Lineage: Eukaryota; Viridiplantae; Streptophyta; Magnoliopsida; Arecales; Arecaceae.
GAAGGUUGACUUUAUCUAAUUUUUGGGCUAUUAAGUUCAAAUCAACCUUAGGACUAGAGUCUGUUUGCUUGAUCUCAAAAAUUUCUAUCCGCUUUUGGUGAGGGGUUGAUCUUUCAUAAGAAGAUAAUAAAGCAUCAUUGAUCAAAUUUUCACUCAAAGUUUCAAACAAAGUAUAGGCUUCAUUCUCACUCUUACUCAUGAAUGCACCUCCACA